Molecule: transfer RNA, 82 nt
Filed under: Ixodes scapularis (black-legged tick)
Lineage: Eukaryota; Metazoa; Arthropoda; Arachnida; Ixodida; Ixodidae
Rfam family: tRNA
About the family: Transfer RNA (tRNA) molecules are approximately 80 nucleotides in length. Their secondary structure includes four short double-helical elements and three loops (D, anti-codon, and T loops).
Source: Rfam by way of RNAcentral
GCAGUCGUGGCCGAGUAGUUAAGGCGGUGGACUAGAAAUCCAUUGGGGUUUCCCCGCACAGGUUCGAAUCCUGUCGACUGCG